Molecule: long non-coding RNA, 740 nt
Filed under: Junco hyemalis (dark-eyed junco)
Lineage: Eukaryota; Metazoa; Chordata; Aves; Passeriformes; Passerellidae
Description: lncRNA (ENSJHYG00000004181.1)
Source: RNAcentral
ACUUAAAGUCAUCUACAGAAAACAGGUCUCUGCCAAGGUUCUCAACCAUCCAUUGCCUUGCUAGCUUCUGGCUAUGGUAUUCUCCUAAGGAUAUAACUUCUUUUCUUCAUAGCCCCUUUUAACAGUUCUUAACAGCUUGUGUCUUUGUGUGUAUUGUAGACAAUAGUCUACAAUUACAGUAUCACAUAGUAUCUUUCCAACUGAAUUUCCAUUUCAUUCCCAUUCAACACAUUGAAAGCAGCUAAUCUUAUAGAUAGUGUUUGCUUAUUUUUGCUAAGUCAUUCACCCUUUUUCUUUUAUUCUGUGGUAAAUAAGUCAUGAUUAAAUAUAAGAUUUAAAAUCUUGUUUCUAAAAACAUUUCUCAUGUUUUAGCAGCUGCCAUAUCAAUAUGCUUGGUAGAUUUGCAUUGAGUAUGUAUUGUUUCUCUUUACAAAUGGAAAGCAGGAACAGAACAAGUGUCAAAGAGAAAUAGAAGAAUGGUGGCAAAAAGAACAAUAAGGUAUGAGAUGAAAUGUUUUGAAUGCUCAUUAAGCUGCUUUCUCUUUAGAAAAUGUUUCAAAGGUGGUGAAAGAUGUUGCUCACUACCAACGGUGAUGAGAGAAUCUACCAUUUUGAUAGAAAAACCUUGGGCAAGUUGAGAAAUACACUGACUAAAGUGUUUUUCUCCUGUUGAGAAAAUAAGACUAAAGAAUUGAGUGGGUGCCUUCUGGAACCUGGACUUUUCAGAUUUCAUCUGCCAC